RNAcentral lists this ribosomal RNA (500 nucleotides) under uncultured bacterium. RNAcentral describes it as "partial 16S ribosomal RNA". It matches the Rfam family "Bacterial small subunit ribosomal RNA", at positions 28 to 507 of the family's 1533-position model. The record is from RNAcentral.
GACGAACGCUGGCGGCGUGCUUAACACAUGCAAGUCGAACGGGUCUGCCCUGUUUUUUGCGGGGUGGGUCAGUGGCGAACGGGUGAGUAACACGUGAGUAACCUGCCCCUCACUUCUGGAUAACCGCUUGAAAGGGUGGCUAAUACGGGGUGUUCUGGCUGUGCCGCAUGGUGUGGCUGGGAAAGAUUCACUUUUGUGGUGUUUUGGUGGGGGAUGGGCUCGCGGCCUAUCAGCUUGUUGGUGGGGUGAUGGCCUGCCAAGGCUUUGACGGGUAGCCGGCCUGGGAGGGUGGGCGGUCACACUGGGACUGAGAUACGGCCCAGACUGCUGCGGGAGGCAGCAGUGGGGGGUAUUGCACAAUGGGCGGAAGCCUGAUGCAGCGACGUCGCGUGAGGGAUGGAGGCCUUCGGGUUGUGAACCUCUUUCGCCGGUGAAGAAGGUCCUGCUCUUUGGGGUGGGGUUGACGGUAGCCGGGUUAUGAAGCGCCGGCUAACUACGUG